UACGAAGGGUGCAAGCGUUACUCGGAAUUACUGGGCGUAAAGCGUGCGUAGGUGGUUGUUUAAGUCUGUUGUGAAAGCCCUGGGCUCAACCUGGGAAUUGCAGUGGAUACUGGGCGACUAGAGUGUGGUAGAGGGUAGUGGAAUUCCCGGUGUAGCAGUGAAAUGCGUAGAGAUGCGGAGGAACACCGAUGGCGAAGGCAGCCCCCUGGGCUAACACUGACGCUCGAGGCACGAAAGCGUGGGGAGCAAACAGG
RNAcentral lists this ribosomal RNA (254 nucleotides) under uncultured bacterium. Its description in RNAcentral is "partial 16S ribosomal RNA". It matches the Rfam family "Bacterial small subunit ribosomal RNA", at positions 524 to 776 of the family's 1533-position model. The record is from RNAcentral.